GACGAACCGUGCGAACGUUGUUCGGAAUCACUGGGCUUAAAGGGUGCGUAGGCGGCGCGACAAGUUGGGUGUGAAAUCCCUCGGCUCAACCGAGGAACUGCGCCCAAAACUGUCGUGCUCGAGGGAGACAGAGGUGAGCGGAACUUAGGGUGGAGCGGUGAAAUGCGUUGAUAUCCUAAGGAACACCGGUGGCGAAAGCGGCUCACUGGGUCUCUUCUGACGCUGAGGCACGAAAGCUAGGGUAGCGAACGGG
RNAcentral lists this ribosomal RNA (253 nucleotides) under uncultured bacterium. RNAcentral's name for it is "partial 16S ribosomal RNA". It matches the Rfam family "Bacterial small subunit ribosomal RNA", at positions 524 to 776 of the family's 1533-position model. The record is from RNAcentral.